Molecule: ribosomal RNA, 253 nt
Filed under: uncultured bacterium
Lineage: Bacteria
Description: partial 16S ribosomal RNA
Rfam family: Bacterial small subunit ribosomal RNA
Source: RNAcentral
UACGUAGGCAGCAAGCGUUGUUCGGAGUUACUGGGCGUAAAGGGUGCGUAGGCGGCUUCUUAAGUCUGGUGUGAAAUCUCCCGGCUCAACUGGGAGGGUGCGCCGGAUACUGAGGGGCUAGAGUGUGGGAGAGGAAAGUGGAAUUCCUGGUGUAGCGGUGAAAUGCGUAGAUAUCAGGAGGAACACCUGUGGCGAAGGCGCCUUGCUGGCCGAUUUCUGACGCUGAGGCGCGAAAGCGUGGGGAGCGAACAGG